This 571-nucleotide ribosomal RNA is filed under the name uncultured bacterium. Its description in RNAcentral is "partial 16S ribosomal RNA". It matches the Rfam family "Bacterial small subunit ribosomal RNA", at positions 355 to 919 of the family's 1533-position model. The record is from RNAcentral.
UGGGGAAUUUUGGACAAUGGGCGAAAGCCUGAUCCAGCAAUGCCGCGUGUGUGAAGAAGGCCUUCGGGUUGUAAAGCACUUUUGUCCGGAAAGAAAUCCUUGGCUCUAAUACAGUCGGGGGAUGACGGUACCGGAAGAAUAAGCACCGGCUAACUACGUGCCAGCAGCCGCGGUAAUACGUAGGGUGCAAGCGUUAAUCGGAAUUACUGGGCGUAAAGCGUGCGCAGGCGGUUUGCUAAGACCGAUGUGAAAUCCCCGGGCUCAACCUGGGAACUGCAUUGGUGACUGGCAGGCUAGAGUAUGGCAGAGGGGGGUAGAAUUCCACGUGUAGCAGUGAAAUGCGUAGAGAUGUGGAGGAAUACCGAUGGCGAAGGCAGCCCCCUGGGCCAAUACUGACGCUCAUGCACGAAAGCGUGGGGAGCAAAACAGGAUUAGAUACCCUGGUAGUCCACGCCCUAAACGAUGUCAACUAGUUGUUGGGGAUUCAUUUCCUAGUAACGUAGCUAACGCGUGAAGUUGACCGCCUGGGGAGUACGGUCGCAAGAUUAAAACUCAAAGGAAUUGACGGGGU